This 518-nucleotide ribosomal RNA is filed under the name uncultured bacterium. RNAcentral's name for it is "partial 16S ribosomal RNA". The record is from RNAcentral.
AGCGACUGUGCAGGUUACCGCGGCUGCUGGCACGGAGUUAGCCGGUGCUUCUUCUGUGAGUGAUGUCCUUCCUGCCGGCUAUUAACCCGCAGGCCUUCUUCCUCACUGAAAGUGCUUUACAACCCGAAGGCCUUCUUCACACACGCGGCAUGGCUGGAUCAGGGUUGCCCCCAUUGUCCAAUAUUCCCCACUGCUGCCUCCCGUAGGAGUCUGGGCCGUGUCUCAGUCCCAGUGUGGCUGAUCAUCCUCUCAGACCAGCUACGGAUCGUCGCCUUGGUGAGCCGUUACCUCACCAACCAGCUAAUCCGACAUAGGCUCAUCCGAUAGCGCGAGGCCCGAAGGUCCCCCGCUUUCCCCCGGUANGGGCUAUGCGGUAUUAGCCUGGGUUUCCCCAGGUUAUCCCCCAUACCCGGGCAGAUUCCUAUGCAUUACUNACCCGUCGCCGCUCGCCACCAGGGAGCAAGCUCCCCGUGCCUGCCGCUCGACUUGCAUGUGUUAGGCCUGCCGCCAGCGUUCAA